This 615-nucleotide ribosomal RNA is filed under the name Triticum aestivum (bread wheat). RNAcentral describes it as "partial small subunit ribosomal RNA". Lineage: Eukaryota; Viridiplantae; Streptophyta; Magnoliopsida; Poales; Poaceae. The record is from RNAcentral.
AUGGCGUUGUUGCUCCGCCGCGCCGCCGCCGCCGCCGCCGCCGCCCGCCACGGCCCCGCCGCCGCCCCCUUCCAUUCCACCACCAUGACGUUGUUGCUCCGCCGCGCCGCCGCCGCCGCCGCCCGCCACCGCCCGGCCGCCCUCCUCCUUCCCGCCGCGCCCAUCUCCAGCAGCGCAGUCACACGGCUCCCCGUCCUCCUCCGCCCGCCACCACCGGCCUUCCAUUUCUCGCCAUGCCGCCGCAUGUGCGUCCUCACCGAGUCGGAGCUCAACGACUUGAAGUCGGAGUUGAUUAAAAUGGAGGCCGAAGGCGUUGCUCUGUACAGUUCGACCUCGACCUCUAUCCUCAAGUUAGAGAUCGAGGUGGACAAGCUGUGCAAGGCUACUGCAGACAAGGCACACCUCGCCGCGCGCACCGUCGGUGACACCUCCUUCCUGAUCUGCGGAGUGGUUGUGUCGGCUGCGGUCUUUCUUGGCGUGCUCGGCCUCUUGGCUGUGUAUGCCGCCGGUGCCCGUGCAGCCAAGAGUGCUGCGGGCGACUACGUGGAUGAGAAGCUUACUGAAGUGGAGAUGAUCGUGGAGAAGAAGGUGCUGACCAGCAUCAAGAAGACAUGA